GACGAACGCUGGCGGCGUGCUUAACACAUGCAAGUCGAACGGAAAGGCCCUGCUUUUGUGGUGUGCUCGAGUGGCGAACGGGUGAGUAACACGUGAGUAACCUGCCCUUGACUUUGGGAUAACUUCAGGAAACUGGGGCUAAUACCGGAUAGGAGCUCCUGCUGCAUGGUGGGGGUUGGAAAGUUUCGGCGGUUGGGGAUGGACGCGCGGCUUAUCAGCUUGUUGGUGGGGUAGUGGCUUACCCAGGCUUUGACGGGUAGCCGGCCUGAGAGGGUGACCGGCCACAAGGGGACUGAGAGAGGGCGCAGACUGCAACGGGGGGCAGCAGUGGGGAAUAUUGCACAAUGGGCGGAAGCCUGAUGCAGCAACGCCGCGUGCGGGAUGACGGCCUUCGGGUUGUAAACCGCUUUCGCCUGUGACGAAGCGGGAGUGACGGUAAUGGGUAAAGAAGCACCGGCUAACUACGUG
Molecule: ribosomal RNA, 468 nt
Filed under: uncultured bacterium
Lineage: Bacteria
Description: partial 16S ribosomal RNA
Rfam family: Bacterial small subunit ribosomal RNA
Source: RNAcentral